UACGUAGGUGGCAAGCGUUGUCCGGAAUUAUUGGGCGUAAAGCGCGCGCAGGCGGUCCUUUAAGUCUGAUGUGAAAGCCCACGGCUCAACCGUGGAGGGUCAUUGGAAACUGGGGGACUUGAGUACAGAAGAGAAGAGUGGAAUUCCACGUGUAGCGGUGAAAUGCGUAGAUAUCUGGAGGAACACCGGUGGCGAAGGCGGCAUCCUGGACCGACACUGACACUGAGGAGCGAAAGCCAGGGGAGCAAACGGG
This 253-nucleotide ribosomal RNA is filed under the name uncultured bacterium. RNAcentral's name for it is "partial 16S ribosomal RNA". It matches the Rfam family "Bacterial small subunit ribosomal RNA", at positions 524 to 776 of the family's 1533-position model. The record is from RNAcentral.